CCUACGGGAGGCAGCAGUGAGGAAUAUUGGUCAAUGGACGAGAGUCUGAACCAGCCAAGUAGCGUGAAGGAUGACUGCCCUAUGGGUUGUAAACUUCUUUUAUAAAGGAAUAAAACGAGGCACGUGUGCCGUUUUGCAUGUACUUUAUGAAUAAGGAUCGGCUAACUCCGUGCCAGCAGCCGCGGUAAUACGGAGGAUCCGAGCGUUAGCCGGAUUUAUUGGGUUUAAAGGGAGCGUCGAUGGGUUGUUAAGUCAGUUGUGAAAGUUUGCGGCUCAACUGUAAAAUUGCAAUGGAUACUGGCAGUCUUGAGUACAGUUGAGGUAGGCGGAAUUCGUGGUGUAGCGGUGAAAUGCUUAGAUAUCACGAAGAACCCCGAUUGCGCAGGCAGCUUACUAAACUGUGCCUGACAUUGAUGCUCGAAAGUGUGGGUAUCAAACAGGAUUAGAUACCCCAGUAGUC
Molecule: ribosomal RNA, 460 nt
Filed under: uncultured bacterium
Lineage: Bacteria
Description: partial 16S ribosomal RNA
Rfam family: Bacterial small subunit ribosomal RNA
Source: RNAcentral